UGGGGAAUUUUGGACAAUGGGCGAAAGCCUGAUCCAGCAAUGCCGCGUGUGUGAAGAAGGCCUUCGGGUUGUAAAGCACUUUUGUCCGGAAAGAAAUCCUUGGCUCUAAUACAGUCGGGGGAUGACGGUAUCGGAAGAAUAAGCACCGGCUAACUACGUGCCAGCAGCCGCGGUAAUACGUAGGGUGCAAGCGUUAAUCGGAAUUACUGGGCGUAAAGCGUGCGCAGGCGGUUUGCUAAGACCGAUGUGAAAUCCCCGGGCUCAACCUGGGAACUGCAUUGGUGACUGGCAGGCUAGAGUAUGGCAGAGGGGGGUAGAAUUCCACGUGUAGCAGUGAAAUGCGUAGAGAUGUGGAGGAAUACCGAUGGCGAAGGCAGCCCCCUGGGCCAAUACUGACGCUCAUGCACGAAAGCGUGGGGAGCAAACAGGAUUAGAUACCCUGGUAGUCCACGCCCUAAACGAUGUCAACUAGUUGUUGGGGAUUCAUUUCCUUAGUAACGUAGCUAACGCGUGAAGUUGACCGCCUGGGGAGUACGGUCGCAAGAUUAAAACUUAAAGGAAUUG
RNAcentral lists this ribosomal RNA (564 nucleotides) under uncultured bacterium. Its description in RNAcentral is "partial 16S ribosomal RNA". It matches the Rfam family "Bacterial small subunit ribosomal RNA", at positions 355 to 912 of the family's 1533-position model. The record is from RNAcentral.